This 809-nucleotide ribosomal RNA is filed under the name Streptomyces sp. RNAcentral describes it as "bacterial SSU rRNA". It matches the Rfam family "Bacterial small subunit ribosomal RNA", at positions 63 to 883 of the family's 1533-position model. The record is from RNAcentral. Lineage: Bacteria; Bacillati; Actinomycetota; Actinomycetes; Kitasatosporales; Streptomycetaceae.
CGAACGAUGAACCCACUUCGGUGGGGGAUUAGUGGCGAACGGGUGAGUAACACGUGGGCAAUCUGCCCUUCACUCUGGGACAAGCCCUGGAAACGGGGUCUAAUACCGGAUAUGACCACUUCAGGCAUCUGAUGGUGGUGGAAAGCUCCGGCGGUGAAGGAUGAGCCCGCGGCCUAUCAGCUUGUUGGUGAGGUAAUGGCUCACCAAGGCGACGACGGGUAGCCGGCCUGAGAGGGCGACCGGCCACACUGGGACUGAGACACGGCCCAGACUCCUACGGGAGGCAGCAGUGGGGAAUAUUGCACAAUGGGCGAAAGCCUGAUGCAGCGACGCCGCGUGAGGGAUGACGGCCUUCGGGUUGUAAACCUCUUUCAGCAGGGAAGAAGCGCAAGUGACGGUACCUGCAGAAGAAGCGCCGGCUAACUACGUGCCAGCAGCCGCGGUAAUACGUAGGGCGCAAGCGUUGUCCGGAAUUAUUGGGCGUAAAGAGCUCGUAGGCGGCUUGUCGCGUCGGAUGUGAAAGCCCGGGGCUUAACCCCGGGUCUGCAUUCGAUACGGGCAGGCUAGAGUGUGGUAGGGGAGAUCGGAAUUCCUGGUGUAGCGGUGAAAUGCGCAGAUAUCAGGAGGAACACCGGUGGCGAAGGCGGAUCUCUGGGCCAUUACUGACGCUGAGGAGCGAAAGCGUGGGGGAGCGAACAGGAUUAGAUACCCUGGUAGUCCACGCCGUAAACGUUGGGAACUAGGUGUUGGCGACAUUCCACGUCGUCGGUGCCGCAGCUAACGCAUUAAGUUCCCCGCCUGGGGAGUAC